This 430-nucleotide ribosomal RNA is filed under the name uncultured bacterium. Its description in RNAcentral is "bacterial SSU rRNA". It matches the Rfam family "Bacterial small subunit ribosomal RNA", at positions 354 to 777 of the family's 1533-position model. The record is from RNAcentral.
GUAGGGAAUUUUCGUCAAUGGGGGGAACCCUGAACGAGCAAUGCCGCGUGAGUGAAGAAGGUCUUCGGAUCGUAAAGCUCUGUUGUAAGUGAAGAACGGUCAGUAGAGGAAAUGAUACUGAAGUGACGGUAGCUUACCAGAAAGCCACGGCUAACUACGUGCCAGCAGCCGCGGUAAUACGUAGGUGGCGAGCGUUAUCCGGAAUCAUUGGGCGUAAAGGGUGCGCAGGUGGUACAUUAAGUCCGAAGUAAAAGGCAGCAGCUCAACUGCUGUUGGCUUUGGAAACUGGUGAACUGGAGUGCAGGAGAGGGCGAUGGAAUUCCAUGUGUAGCGGUAAAAUGCGUAGAUAUAUGGAGGAACACCAGUGGCGAAGGCGGUCGCCUGGCCUGCAACUGACACUGAGGCACGAAAGCGUGGGGAGCAAAUAGGA